This 432-nucleotide ribosomal RNA is filed under the name uncultured bacterium. RNAcentral's name for it is "partial 16S ribosomal RNA". It matches the Rfam family "Bacterial small subunit ribosomal RNA", at positions 29 to 506 of the family's 1533-position model. The record is from RNAcentral.
AACGAACGCUGGCGGCAGGCCUAACACAUGCAAGUCGAGCGAGGGCUUCGGUCCUAGCGGCGGACGGGUGAGUAACGCGUGGGAACGUGCCCUUUGCUUCGGAAUAGCCCUGGGAAACUGGGAGUAAUACCGGAUGAGCCCUUUGGGGGAAAGAUUUAUCGGCGAAGGAUCGGCCCGCGUUGGAUUAGGUAGUUGGUGGGGUAAUGGCCUACCAAGCCGACGAUCCAUAGCUGGUUUGAGAGGAUGAUCAGCCACACUGGGACUGAGACACGGCCCAGACUCCUACGGGAGGCAGCAGUGGGGAAUCUUAGACAAUGGGGGAAACCCUGAUCUAGCCAUGCCGCGUGAGCGAUGAAGGCCUUAGGGUUGUAAAGCUCUUUCAGCUGGGAAGAUAAUGACGGUACCAGCAGAAGAAGCCCCGGCUAACUCCGU